GANCUGGCGGCAGGCCUAACCAUGCAAGUCGAGCGGAAACGAGUUAUCUGAACCUUCGGGGAACGAUAACGGCGUCGAGCGGCGGACGGGUGAGUAAUGCCUAGGAAAUUGCCCUGAUGUGGGGGAUAACCAUUGGAAACGAUGGCUAAUACCGCAUGAUGCCUACGGGCCAAAGAGGGGGACCUUCGGGCCUCUCGCGUCAGGAUAUGCCUAGGUGGGAUUAGCUAGUUGGUGAGGUAAGGGCUCACCAAGGCGACGAUCCCUAGCUGGUCUGAGAGGAUGAUCAGCCACACUGGAACUGAGACACGGUCCAGACUCCUACGGGAGGCAGCAGUGGGGAAUAUUGCACAAUGGGCGCAAGCCUGAUGCAGCCAUGCCGCGUGUGUGAAGAAGGCCUUCGGGUUGUAAAGCACUUUCAGUCGUGAGGAAGGUAGUGUAGUUAAUAGCUGCAUUAUUUGACGUUAGCGACAGAAGAAGCACCGGCUAACUCCGUGCCAGCAGCCGCGGUAAUACGGAGGGUGCGAGCGUUAAUCGGAAUUACUGGGCGUAAAGCGCAUGCAGGUGGUUUGUUAAGUCAGAUGUGAAAGCCCGGGGCUCAACCUCGGAAUAGCAUUUGAAACUGGCAGACUAGAGUACUGUA
Molecule: ribosomal RNA, 640 nt
Filed under: Vibrio sp. W046
Lineage: Bacteria; Pseudomonadati; Pseudomonadota; Gammaproteobacteria; Vibrionales; Vibrionaceae
Description: SSU rRNA
Rfam family: Bacterial small subunit ribosomal RNA
Source: RNAcentral